RNAcentral lists this long non-coding RNA (458 nucleotides) under Equus caballus (horse). Its description in RNAcentral is "lncRNA (ENSECAG00000032699.3)". Lineage: Eukaryota; Metazoa; Chordata; Mammalia; Perissodactyla; Equidae. The record is from RNAcentral.
CCCCUACUGACUUCAGAGGGAAGAUCUAAAACUCAUCCAAGAACAGAAUUUAGCUCAUACAAAAAUGAAACAACAAAGAAUGUUUAAACUUUUAUAUUUGUGGCUUCAUUUUUAUUAUUUUCGGCUAUUAAAAACCAUGGAUACUGGAAAGAAACAAACUACAAAAACAUGCAAAUGAUUAUUAUUUUAACUUAUGAUUAAUUCCUUCUUGUUUUAGUGAUGUUUCUACUAAACAGUCUUCCUAUUCUGAAGUCCUGUGUUGGAACCCACAAGUGAAGAGUCACAAAGUUCUGAGAUCAGAGAAUUGCCUCAAAUUCUGAAUGAAGAACCAUCUGCAAGGUCCCUCUCUAUUACAGUCCUCACGCUUUGAGUGUAUCAGAGCCGGGUCAAGCCUUAAACCAGAUGUUGCCGCUGUUGUUAUAAAACAGUUAAACCAUGUGAAUGAAGACACAUCAGCU